UUAAGCUAGAAAGAGCGCAGGGUGGAUGCCUUGGCACUAAGAGCCGAUGAAAGACGUGAUAAGCUGCGAAAAGCUUCGGGGAGGAGCAAAUAUCCGAUGAUCCGGAGAUAUCUGAAUGGGGAAACCCGGCUGGACAGACUCCAGUCAUCCAUACGCCAAUCCAUAACGUAUGGAGGGGAACCCGGGGAACUGAAACAUCUAAGUACCCGGAGGAGAGGAAAUCAAUCUCGAGACUCCCCGAGUAGCGGCGAGCGAAAGGGGACCGAUGGCCAAACCGUCGAGCGGGCAUACCCGGCAGGGGUUCCGCCGACGGGGUUGCAGGGCCGCGCAUCCGGGGGCUGCCGCCCCCGGGCGCAGGUCCGGCUGGGGAGCGGAACGGCAUGGGAGGGCCGGCCGCAGCGGGUGACAGCCCCGUACGCGAACCCAGACCGGACGGCGCGACGCGGUCCCUGAGUAGGGCCGGGCACGUGAAACCCGGUCCGAACCUGGGUGGACCACCAUCCAAGCCUGAGUACUACCCUGUGACCGAUAGCGCACCAGUACCGUGAGGGAAAGGUGAAAAGCACCCCGGGAGGGGAGUGAAACAGUACCUGAAACCGUGCGCCCACGAGCAGUCGGAGCACCUAUAUGGUGUGACGGCGUGCCUUUUGUAGAAUGAGCCAGCGAGUCGCUGGCGCGGGGCGAGGUUAACCGAAAGGGAGCCGGAGCGAAAGCGAGCCUUAACAGGGCGACUUGAGUCCCGCGCCGCGGACGCGAAGCCGGGUGAGCUAUCCGUGGGCAGGCUGAAGCGGGGGUAAGACCCCGUGGAGGGCCGAACGCACGUCGGUUGAAAACGGCGGCGAUGACCUGCGGAUAGGGGUGAAAGGCCAAUCAAACCCGGAGAUAUCUCGUUCUCCCCGAAAUAGCUUUAGGGCUAGCGUCGCGCGUUCACCGCCGGAGGUAGAGCACCGGAUGGACGAGGGGGCUUCGCCGCCUACCGAAUCCAACCGAACUCCGAAUGCCGGCGGCCCAGAGCGCGGCAGUCAGAGCAUGUGGGCUAAGCUGUGUGCUCGAGAGGGAAACAGCCCGGACCGCCCGCUAAGGUCCCCAAGUUCCAGCCGAGUGGCAAAGGAUGUGCGUCCGCCCAGACAACCAGGAUGUUGGCUUAGAAGCAGCCAUCCAUUCAAAGAGUGCGUAACAGCUCACUGGUCGAGUGGACAUGCGCCGACAAUACACGGGGCUAAGCUGGACACCGAAGCGGCGGGAUUUUGAUUUUCAGAAUCGGUAGGGGAGCUUCCCAUGGGCGGGGAAGCCGCCGGGCGACCGGCGGUGGAGCGCAUGGGAGUGAGAAUGCUGGCAUGAGUAGCGAGAGACGAGAGAGUAACUCGUCCGCCGUGAACCCGAGGUUUCCUGGGCAAGGCUAAUCCUCCCAGGGUCAGUCGGGGGCUAAGGCGAGGCCGGGAGGCGUAGCCGACGCGCAGCAGGCAGACAUUCCUGCACCGCGCACGCGGCGCUACGACCGACGGGGCGACGGAUGGGGGUGGCUCGGCGGGGUUCUGGACGUCCCCGUGAUGGAGCGCGGCCCGCGGACCAGGGAAAUCCGGUCCGCACGAGGGCGAGGCUCCGGACGAAGCGAUCAAGCGAAGCGAGUGAGCCCGAGGUCCCUAGAAAAACCCCUAGGCAGGCGCGUGCGCGCCCGUACCGCAAACCGACACAGGUGGGUGGGUAGAACAUACCGAGGCGAUCGGGUCAACCAUGGUCAAGGAACUCGGCACAAUGGCCCCGUAACUUCGGGAGAAGGGGUGCCCGCGCGUACGUGAACCGGCUUGCCCGGGGAGCGGAGGCGGGCCGCAGUGGAGAGGCCCAAGCGACUGUUUACCAAAAACACAGGACUCUGCAGAAGCCGCAAGGCGACGUAUAGGGUCUGACGCCUGCCCGGUGCCGGAAGGUCACGCGGAGGAGUUAGCGCAUCGCGCGAAGCCCCGAAGCCAAGCCCCGGUAAACGGCGGCCGUAACUAUAACGGUCCUAAGGUAGCGAAAUUCCUUGUCGGGUAAGUUCCGACCUGC
RNAcentral lists this ribosomal RNA (2046 nucleotides) under human gut metagenome. RNAcentral describes it as "bacterial LSU rRNA". It matches the Rfam family "Bacterial large subunit ribosomal RNA", at positions 3 to 1991 of the family's 2925-position model. The record is from RNAcentral.